RNAcentral lists this ribosomal RNA (253 nucleotides) under uncultured bacterium. RNAcentral describes it as "partial 16S ribosomal RNA". It matches the Rfam family "Bacterial small subunit ribosomal RNA", at positions 524 to 776 of the family's 1533-position model. The record is from RNAcentral.
UACGGGGGGGGCAAGCGUUGUUCGGAAUUACUGGGCGUAAAGGGCUCGUAGGCGGCCAACUAAGUCGGAUGUGAAAUCCCCAAGCUUAACUUGGGAACUGCAUCCGAUACUGGAUGGCUUGAAUCCGGGAGAGGGAUGCAGAAUUCCAGGUGUAGCGGUGAAAUGCGUAGAUAUCGAGAGGAACACCUGCGGCGAAGGCGGGUAGCUGGGCCGACACUGACGCUGAGGCGCGAAAGCCAGGGGAGCGAACGGG